RNAcentral lists this non-coding RNA (28 nucleotides) under Rattus norvegicus (Norway rat). The record is from RNAcentral. Lineage: Eukaryota; Metazoa; Chordata; Mammalia; Rodentia; Muridae.
GACAGCAGGCAGCCGUGUGCCCAGAUGU